GUGCUUGUAGCUCAACAGGACAGAGCAUCAGACUACGGAUCUGAAAGUUGAGAGUUCGAAUCUUUCCAAGCAC
Molecule: non-coding RNA, 73 nt
Organism: Bryopsis sp. KO-2023
Lineage: Eukaryota; Viridiplantae; Chlorophyta; Ulvophyceae; Bryopsidales; Bryopsidaceae
Source: the annotation of a GenBank genome assembly